Molecule: ribosomal RNA, 378 nt
Filed under: uncultured bacterium
Lineage: Bacteria
Description: bacterial SSU rRNA
Rfam family: Bacterial small subunit ribosomal RNA
Source: RNAcentral
AGAGGUGGCAAGCGUUGUUCGGAAUUCUGGGCUUAAAGGGCGCGUAGGUGGUGGCAUAAGUCCAGGGUGGAAGGCUAAGGCUUAACCUUAGGAUUGCCCUGAGAAACUGUAUCACUUGAGUCAAGACAAGGGGAUGGCGGGAAAUUCCCGGUGUAGCGGUGAAAUGCGUAGAAUAUCGGGGAAGGAAAGGCCGGUGGCUGAAGGCGGGCCAAUCUGGGGUCUGAACUGACACUUGAGGCGCGAAAGCGUGGGGAGCAAACAGGAUUAGAUACCCUGGUAGUCCACGCCCUAAACGGUGGGUCUAGGUGUGGGGCUCGUAAGGGUUCCGUGCCGAAGGGAAACCAUUAGUCCCCGCCUGGGGAGUCGGCCGCAAGGUUG